UACAGAGGUCUCAAGCGUUGUUCGGAUUCAUUGGGCGUAAAGGGUGCGUAGGCGGCGGGGCAAGUCUGGUGUGAAAUCCCGGGGCUCAACUCCGGAACUGCACUGGAUACUGCCUUGCUAGAGUACUGGAGAGGGAACUGGAAUUUACGGUGUAGCAGUGAAAUGCGUAGAGAUCGUAAGGAAGACCAGUGGCGAAGGCGAGCUCCUGGACAGUAACUGACGCUGAGGCACGAAGGCUAGGGGAGCAAACGGG
This 253-nucleotide ribosomal RNA is filed under the name uncultured bacterium. Its description in RNAcentral is "partial 16S ribosomal RNA". It matches the Rfam family "Bacterial small subunit ribosomal RNA", at positions 524 to 776 of the family's 1533-position model. The record is from RNAcentral.